GUAAGGAGCCAGCAGGAGGGAAGGGAGGUAUAGGAUGCAGGUGAGGGCUCUGCUUGAGAGAGAAUAAAAACACCCAGCCACUUUGAAACAGCUCACUUAUUAUGUUUAUAAGGUGGCAAGGGGCCUUUUGGAUAAUAUUUGGCAGCAAAAGGGAGCCUGAAGCUGUCCCAUGUGCUCACUUUGGCAGCACAUAUACCAAUAGUUGUCUCAAAGCCUACUACCAUCCUGGCCAAAGAGAAGUUCGAUUGGAUGAGUGAAAUGAAGAUGUAAAUGCUGUGCAAACCCCACACGAAUAAACCUUUGAAUACAGAUGCAAUGGCUUUAUCGACAGUAUAGUUUUACAAGCUGCGGAGUGCUGAAGCUUAAACAUCUGCUUUUCAGACUGAAACAUCUGCAGGCUCCAAUGAACAAUGUGAAGAUAAGGCUACAUAAUGAACUGGGAAGGUGUGGCAAGAUCACUCACAGACCCAUGAAGACUUGUUCCUGCUUUGUAGACUACAUCUUACAUUCUAAAAUCCAAACUUUUAAAAAAAAUAGAUGAGGAUACGCUGGCAUUGAAUGAGUUCUUGGUAGAUGGAAGAGGAAAAAGGUGACAGAGUUGAUGCUGGUCCGGGAAACUGAAAACCAAAACAGCAUUGUGUUCUAGAAGAAGAAAGAGGCCAUGCAUACGUCAUGAAUGGAACAAAGAGCUGGGACAAAGGCAAACACUGCUUUACAAUUUUACCCAGACAGAUGUGGGCACAUGUGCAACAGAGGAAAAAGAGUCCAUUAAAAUUCUCAGUGAAGUGGGUUAGGAUGCAAGCAUGUUUCCUUUUCAGCUUGAUUCAACUGCCAACUUUUUCAGAAAAUGUUAGUUCCAAAUCUCAAA
Molecule: long non-coding RNA, 868 nt
Organism: Heterocephalus glaber (naked mole-rat)
Lineage: Eukaryota; Metazoa; Chordata; Mammalia; Rodentia; Bathyergidae
Source: RefSeq, a predicted model, not a curated record